UCUGAAGCGGUGUGGCAUGUUGGAAAAAGCAAAGGCGUUCUGAAGGCAGCUGAAAUCCUUUCCAGUUACAGCCGCGGCUCUCGCCACCUGUGAGAGCUCCUGCACGCUCCUCACCUCGAAUGUUUUUCCUCGUCUGUAAAUAACAGGGACAAUACCUUCCUCACGCGGUGUUUGCAAAGAUUAAUUGAGGUCAAGCACGUACAGCCGCUAACACAGGCGUGGCUCCUAGCGGUGCUCAAGAAGUGUGGGGAAUUUUUGUAUGUUGUGUCUCCUCAAUAAACGUAGAACAAGUAACCAAACAAAGAAAUGAAUGAACAAAAGGAACUGGAUGUUCUUAUGGAACACUUUAUCUAGAACAGAGGUUUUCAAACGUUUGGUUGUUGUUAGCGGAGAAAACCGUGCCUCAAGUAAGAUCUUAUGCAGAAGGUCAGCAUCGAAAAAUAAGAAAAAUGCAGCAGCUUCAAAAGCAGGAGGGGAUCCUGUCGCCCUCUUACCCAGACCCCUUGGUCCUCUUCUUUGCAUACCAGGUCAUCUUUGCCGUGAGACUCCAAAAAGUGCAGUUCCAAAACCACAGAUCUGGGCGAUAUUUUCAAAACUACAUUUUAUUACAGCCUUCAUCUAGAUUCCACAAAUUUUGUAUUAGUUCUAUUUUCUCUUUGUUAAUAAUCUAAGUGAAAUGUUUAUCAUUACAUCUUCUAACUUGUAUUGUUGUGGAUACAUAGGAAAGCUGCCUUUGGAGAGAAGGAAAUUCUCUUAAAAAUACAUCCACUGUUUCAGCGUAUUCUCCUGGGGUUCUCCAAGUACAUAAUCACAUCGGUUACAAAUUAUUUUAUUUCCUCCUGGCCAGUAUUUUUCUCUCUUAUUUGUUUCAUGUUUUAGUGUACGCACCAGAACCUCCAAAAUAAUGUUAUAUAAAAAUGGUCAUAGGCAUCGUCCUUUGGUUCUUGGUUUUAAGGAGCUUUCUCCUAGAACAGUUGCUCUCUACUUUAUUGCCAGACUCCCAAGCCCUCGAGAGUCUGAUUUAAUUGGUCAGGGCUGGGUCUCAGGCAUCAGCAGGCCUUAAACAUUCCCCAGGUGAUGCUUAUGUUCAAAGGAUUGAGACCCUCAGCUCCAGACAAUUUAACAUGGAGUAUGAUGUUGGCUGCUUAUUUAACACAGAUAUUCCUUAUCACAUUUAGGAAAGAUAUGCAGUUCUCAGGUAUCUAAGAUUUGUUCGUUUUUUCAUUUGUUUUCUAGUUUAGAAAGAGUGUUGCAAUUAUCUAUUGAGAUGAUUGCAUUAUACAUAUAUUCUUAUUGAAUACAUUAAAGUGGUGAAUAAAACAUCCUUGCGUUCUUCAGUUAAACUCAACUCGGCCGUGAGAAGAAACCAAAGCACAGAAAGGUGAAGCAAAGUUGGUGCUUGACCCCAUCGCUCAAAAGGGGCAGAGUGGAAGAACACGCGUGACCAGAAACCAGGCAGGAAAGGGUUAAAGUCUGAUCCAUAACUAAGCAAAGUCUGUCAAGUGUUUUCCAGACAAGGAGAAAACUAUAUGUGCUGUUUUCCAGAAGUUGAUGUCCUCCUUUUGGCAGAUGGUGCCCUCCUACAGUGAGACUUACACCGUUGCAGCAGGACCCCUGUAAAUUCCUCCAGCUCCAAGUAUCCAAAACUUACCUUGGACCUGUUCUGUAAGAUAUACCUUUGACUCUGCUCUGCCUGCCUGUGCCCUGGGACCUGACCUCCAUGGCCUGCAUCUCUUGGGCUUUCUUGUCCUCUGACUUCCAUUUGUCUUCAACGGAUGUACCAGCAGGAAACCAGAGAUCCAGAGGAGAGAGCAGUUAGAAUGUUUACUCUGAUGGCUGCAGAUUUGGCAGUGGCUGCAUUCCUCAAUCUAUGGCCACAUCUCCUGGUGGGUGGCCUCUUUCCCGUGACUAUGGGCUCACUGGCUUCCACUAACACUGCUCCCUCCCCUUGUCCCUUUGUGCCUAGGGACUCACUCUUGCUAAUUCCUGAGUACUUAACCAUUUAUUGUUGAGUCCAUUAAUCCUACCAGCACCUGUGUCAACAGUCUUUCCAUUAAACUCUCUUCAGUUAA
Equus caballus (horse) is the source of this 2072-nucleotide long non-coding RNA. Lineage: Eukaryota; Metazoa; Chordata; Mammalia; Perissodactyla; Equidae. The record is from Ensembl.